Capsella rubella is the source of this 1912-nucleotide long non-coding RNA. RefSeq lists it as uncharacterized. The transcript is spliced from 15 exons. The record is from RefSeq and is a predicted model, not a curated record. NCBI's taxonomy places the organism in Eukaryota, Viridiplantae, Streptophyta, Magnoliopsida, Brassicales, Brassicaceae.
UUCAGUCUUCACCAAAUAGAAAAAAAAACGAUGAUAUACAAGUUUAUAGAGGCGGGAGCGUUUCAAUGGCGUAGAUGUUUGAAGAAUGAAGAAGAUUCAGAACAGAAUUAGGGUUUGGAGAAUAAACAACAACAACAACGACAUCUAUGGAUAUAUGGUGCAAGUGAGGAUCGGAGGAGGGCGUGGAUUGUUUCCAUGGCGUUUCUCCUUCAACUCUCAUCUGAUUUGACGACCAACUUAUAAGAUCCGGGUGAUGGUUCGAAGAAUGAAUGAAGUUUCAUAACAAAAAACUUGGUCGGCGUACUCACAGUAACAACACCAAACUGAUUCUAGUCAUUGUUGGUCUUAUUCUUUGUUAUGGUUUUACGUGUUGCUGCUUGCUUCUCUAGAUUGAGAUAUAUGGUUCUGAUCGAAAACUCCUCUUCUUGCUAUCCAGCCUAUCAUCAACACUUAUGCAGCUGUAAUUCAGACUUUGGGGAGAUCAUAUAUGGUUUGAAGAAUGGAGAAGAUUCAGACUGCUCAAGGUUUGUUUCAAUCACUCAUUUAUUACAGCUGGAACUCGAGAAGGCACCAAAAGAUUCAAAGCAAAACCUUUGGAACAAAGAGGUUCUUGUCACUGCCUCAUGAGUCAUGCCAACGUUUCCACUCCGCAGAUUUUGGCAGCUCCAGAUUUGCCUACACCACAAAGAAGUACACCACAUAUUCAAGAACUUCAGGAAUUUUGAAUGGUAAGGGCUAACCAGCAUACAAAGAUAUCCUCAGUGUCUAAGCAGAUCGGGGAUAUGGUUUGAAGCAUGAAGUUUCAUAACAGAACACUAUAUCAAUGUCAUGAAACAGAUUCUAAUGAUUGAUUGUCUUUGCCUCAAUAAGUCUUCUUUGUCCACUUAAAAUUCGCCAUUCAUAAAUGGAUAUAUGGUUCACUCUCUUCUCAGCAUCAGGGAUGACCGAACAACAAUGGUCAAAUCAUCCUCUUAUUGAUCUCAUGGUUUAUAUGGUGGUAGUAUUGUUUUGGUGUGUUUGCAAGUGAAAAAUACGUUGUUUACAUGGCGCUUCCUCAACUCCCAUCUGACUUGACGAGAACUCGACUAAGAAAAGGGUAAAGAUCCGUUAAAACUAGUUAGCUACAACUCUUUCAUCACGACGCAAGCCUCAGGAAAGAACAAGUUAUUCUCCUACUGAUGCAGAGGUCAACAACAAGACCGCAGAUGCCAGUAAUCUAAGGGAUGCGAGGUUUGAGCAGAUGGUAAACAAAGAGAAUAGACCUUGCUCAACAGAAAUUUCAGGAAAGUAGAAUCUGAGGGAUUUCAUCUUAUCAAACAAUGGUAAAGGCAUGCAGAGACGUUAUUCAUCUCAGAAACUAUCCGUAAGAAAGAUUGAUCGAUCUCCUUAUUUCCUCCUCUGUCUUCAGAGUUCAGUCAAUCGACAACGAUUUUAGUUCCUAACUACACUUGAAAUCUUGUUGAUUCGUUUGAACCCAUGAGACUACGAAGCGGAAUUGAAGAUUGCCUAGACAACUACAAACUACACAACAGUGCAGUAAAGAAGGCCUUCGUAAUGGGCUUUUCUGUGACGGCCCAACCAAAAUCCAAUCAGGUAUCAUACUUUCUUCUUGAUUUUUUUUUUUUUUUUGAACUAAAGAUUUUUUUUUUUUUUUUCUUUGGUUUGGUUCCACUUCUGAUUUGAAAGGGGUUUUUCAUGUGACGUUUUGAAUUUUUUUUGUUUAAAAUAAAUUUAAGUACUGAAUUUAAAUACAUCGAAAAGAAACCAAAUUUAGCAUCCAAUCAUCUUUAAGUAUUAACAAGUUUAGCAUCCUAUCUUUAAGAGGAUUUAAGGUUAAGAUUUACCAAAGAAAAUAUGUUAUAUAAGAUACUCUCUUUGGUAAAUCUUACCUUUAAAUCCUCCCAAUAAUGUU